ACGUCUCCCGCUCCCUUCCCGCCACUCGGCGUUCCUACCCGUCGAGUUCCCUCCGCGCGAAAAAAAAAAAAACAGUCGUCCGCGGCUUGCGUGCAGCCUCUCCGUCAGCGUGGGAAGGAGGGAAAGAAAAGACUCAGCCAAGUGUCCCGAGGAGGAGCCGGCCAGGGAGGGGAGAACGGGAGGAUUUCUUUUCCAGGGUAGGGUUUAAUUACGGGAGAUUUUGUACAUUUUAUCGCGGGCUUUUACGUAUAUACCAAGGCCAAGGCCACAUCAAAAAAAACUUCCUUGUUUCUGGGAGGAAUUGAGCGUUGGAAGCUUUCCCCUUACCGUUUUGGAGCCCCUUCUAUCCCAUUGGAAAGCGCGCGGGGCGGGGGUUGGUAAAAAAUGUUUCAGCUGCUCUUUGCGUCAGCCCCACCCAUAAAUGACAUCUGCUCUACAACAAUAAGACCGCGGAUUAUAUUAUCGCUCGAGUAACCAUCGGCCUAUUUUUCUGAUUACUUGAGCUGUUUAAGGUGGGCUUUUAUGAAUGAUUUAUUGUGCCCACGAAACUUACAAGUUGAACUGGGUCUCCACUCGGAACUCGUUUCUGAUUUUCUCGCCGAGUUUACUUAACAUCUGUCACCGAGAUAUUCGUGCACCUUGCACUUUUCCUAGAUGGUAUUUCUGUAAAAUGAAAUUUAGAAUUCUGUAUAACGUACUUAUUUUGGUGCAUGUAUUGACGGUUUCAUCAGUUUUUCCAAGAGCACUUAAAUAAAAUAAACUGACUUGUAGCUUCAAGAGCAUCUUUUAAAAAAGGAAUAAUGUGUAUUUUACUUUUGUAUCUAAGAUUUCUAAAUAUUGCAUGCGUAAUGUCAAUAUUACAAACGUGAUAGCUUGUCGAACUUAAAUUUUUCGUUAAACACUUCAUAAGAAAUGUUUGCACAUUGAACUGGGAUUUCCUAAAGGCUGAAAUUUACUUGUUUUGUACAUUUAUUUUAGGAUUGACUAUUUUCCAUUUGCUUUAAAAUGUAUGAACCUAACAGUUCUUCACAUUUAGCAUGAAUGAUUGAACAGUAUCAUAUGUAUUCUGACUUCAUUUUCUAUUUUAUCUACUUCAAGUAAGAUAGAAUGUUCUGAUUUUCAUUUUGCAGUGAUUUCCCUAACUUGUCUUUAAAACUUGUUUUUGAAUAUUUCUUUUCCUGUUAUACUCAAUGUUGUAAGCCUCAACAAACUGAAUACUGUUUACCUUUUUUUUUUUUUUUUUAGGAAAUUACCAUAGGAGUCCUCAUGUUACCUUUCUAGAUUCAGAGAAUCAUCAGUGAACCAAAAAAAGUCCCUCUUCUCCUGAAGCAUAUAGUCUAGUGGAAAGAAUAUAGAAUUUCUCAGAGGCUUUCAAAUCCUGCUGUGCAACAGGAUUUCUCCGAGAGGAAACAGCAGGGUGAGCUUUUCCUACAAGCACGUGACUCCCGAACCCCUUUUCCUCUGAGCGUCGCAGGAUCUGAGGUUCUGUGGUUGCUCUUUGGAAAACACCCAGCAGUAGGCCUGUUGUACAACACCAAAGACUGAAGAAAUGUCUGUUGGGCAUUUGUGUCGCCUUACCUUCUUCCAGCGCCAAGCCAACCUUCACUUUUCCAUGAAACGAUUGUUGUAACUGAAAAAUACUCAGGAGUGGAAUUGCUAGAUCAAAGACACUUGCUCCUUGGAAGAAAA
This is a long non-coding RNA of Bubalus bubalis (water buffalo), 1689 nucleotides long. RefSeq lists it as uncharacterized. The transcript has 4 exons. NCBI's taxonomy places the organism in Eukaryota, Metazoa, Chordata, Mammalia, Artiodactyla, Bovidae. The record is from RefSeq and is a predicted model, not a curated record.